GUGCUGGCGAGAGCCAGGGCGGGGUGACCCGCCGGAUCAGGGCAGCAGAGAACAGACCGCCGAUGGCGGAUCCGGGCAACCGGGACCGCACAGGUAAGGGUGAAACGGUGCGGUAAGAGCGCACCAGCGUCACGGGCGACCGUGGCGGCUCGGCAACCCCCUCCCGGAGCAAGGUCAUACAGGGGGAGCGGUCGGCCCGGCCGGCACUCCGGUGCAUCCCCCGGGUGGACCGCAAAGAUGGAUGGUCGCUGAGGCGGACCCCCGAAAGGGACCGCCAGACAGAAUCCCGCUUACAGAACCGCUCACCGU
This 309-nucleotide RNase P RNA is filed under the name Acidimicrobiia bacterium. Its description in RNAcentral is "partial RNase P RNA component class A". It matches the Rfam family "Bacterial RNase P class A", at positions 71 to 367 of the family's 367-position model. From Rfam's summary of the family: Ribonuclease P (RNase P) is a ubiquitous endoribonuclease, found in archaea, bacteria and eukarya as well as chloroplasts and mitochondria. The record is from RNAcentral. Lineage: Bacteria; Bacillati; Actinomycetota; Acidimicrobiia.